GGAAAAAUCAUGCACGCGGCCUGUCGUGUCAUACAAAUGCGUCACACUAACAGUCACACAUAAAUGAUUGAGGCACACCUGUAAGGUGCAGCACUCACGGUCAAGGUUACUUUGAGAAGAAAUGAGAGAGGGGUACGGUGUCAUCUUAUCGAUGUUGACGUAUGUGGUGUUGAGGAGGAUGUAGUGCUCGCCGCUGAAGCUGGAAAAGAUAGCAGUGAUGCGGGACUCUAGCUCUGAGAAGUGGAUCCGGGCAGAACUCUGGCUGUAGCAGUCUUCGGCCUUGUAGGAGGAAGACUGUGAUAUCGAAGGAGUUCACAUCAGAGUAAGGUGGGGCACCCC
Long non-coding RNA from Xyrauchen texanus (razorback sucker), 339 nucleotides. RefSeq lists it as uncharacterized. NCBI's taxonomy places the organism in Eukaryota, Metazoa, Chordata, Actinopteri, Cypriniformes, Catostomidae. The transcript has 3 exons. The record is from RefSeq and is a predicted model, not a curated record.